CGCGGCCUAUCAGCUUGUUGGUGAGGUAACGGCUCACCAAGGCGACGACGGGUAACCGGCCUGAGAGGGUGACCGGUCACACUGGGACUGAGACACGGCCCAGACUCCUACGGGAGGCAGCAGUGGGGAAUAUUGCACAAUGGGCGCAAGCCUGAUGCAGCAACGCCGCGUGAGGGAUGACGGCCUUCGGGUUGUAGACCUCUUUUAGCAGGGAAGAAGCGAAAGUGACGGUACCUGCAGAAAAAGCACCGGCUAACUACGUGCCAGCAGCCGCGGUAAUACGUAGGGAGCGAGCGUUGUCCGGAAUUAUUGGGCGUAAAGAGCUCGUAGGCGGUUCAGUAAGUCGGGUGUGAAAACUCAAGGCUCAACCUUGAGACGCCACUCGAUACUGCUGUGACUUGAGUCCGGUAGAGGAGUGUGGAAUUCCUGGUGUAGCGGUGAAAUGCGCAGAUAUCAGGAGGAACACCAGCGGCGAAGGCGGCACUCUGGGCCGGUACUGACGCUGAGGAGCGAAAGCAUGGGGAGCAAACAGGAUUAGAUACCCUGGUAGUCCAUGCCGUAAACGUUGGGCACUAGGUAUGGGAUCAUAUCAACGGAUUCCGUGCCGUAGCUAACGCAUUAAGUGCCCCGCCUGGGGAGUACGG
This 644-nucleotide ribosomal RNA is filed under the name uncultured Actinomycetes bacterium. RNAcentral describes it as "bacterial SSU rRNA". It matches the Rfam family "Bacterial small subunit ribosomal RNA", at positions 232 to 885 of the family's 1533-position model. Lineage: Bacteria; Bacillati; Actinomycetota; Actinomycetes. The record is from RNAcentral.